AAAUUCAUUGAUUUAGAUGAAUUUUCUUUUGAAUCAAAGUAUUUUUUCGUCAAACAGUCGACACAUCUUCAUUAGCUUCUGUUUAGUGAACGGGUCGGGCGAGAAGUUUUUCCGACAACCAGUCAGACCAUUUCAUCUCAUGCCGCGCAACAGUCAGACCGCACCGGAAUCACAAGAUCCGGCGUAGGAAAGUCUUGACAACUAGAGGCCAAACGAUAGUGGACUCCUAGGGCAACCAUUCAUCCAACUAAUCGCUUCCGAUCCGGUCCAAGGAUCCAUCUGGCGUCAAAACCCUUCAUGAAUUGUUCGAAAGGAACUGUCCGCCAACAAACAUCGUUCAAUGUGCCGGUUCAAAACUCUGGAAAAAUCGACUGUGUGAACAUGAACUUACAAAUAAAUAAAUGUUUUUAAACCAUAAGUUAUUUCUUUUUAUUUCCAAUUAGACGAAAAUUAAUAUAUAUGUAGUACUAGAAUUUUUAGAAACAAAACAUAGA
This is a long non-coding RNA of Uranotaenia lowii, 494 nucleotides long. RefSeq lists it as uncharacterized. The record is from RefSeq and is a predicted model, not a curated record. The transcript is spliced from 3 exons. NCBI's taxonomy places the organism in Eukaryota, Metazoa, Arthropoda, Insecta, Diptera, Culicidae.